Molecule: ribosomal RNA, 558 nt
Filed under: uncultured bacterium
Lineage: Bacteria
Description: bacterial SSU rRNA
Rfam family: Bacterial small subunit ribosomal RNA
Source: RNAcentral
UGCAAGUCGAGCGGAACGAAGGUAGCUUGCUACCAGGCGUCGAGCGGCGGACGGGUGAGUAACGCGUAGGAAUCUGCCUAGUAGAGGGGGACAACAUGUGGAAACGCAUGCUAAUACCGCAUACGCCCUGAGGGGGAAAGGAGGGGAUCACUUGUGACCUUCCGCUAUUAGAUGAGCCUGCGUGAGAUUAGCUAGUUGGUAGGGUAAAGGCCUACCAAGGCGACGAUCUCUAACUGGUCUGAGAGGAUGACCAGUCACACUGGGACUGAGACACGGCCCAGACUCCUACGGGAGGCAGCAGUGGGGAAUAUUGGACAAUGGGCGCAAGCCUGAUCCAGCCAUGCCGCGUGUGUGAAGAAGGCCUUAGGGUUGUAAAGCACUUUCAGGGGUGAGGAAGGGUGAGUCGCUAAUAUCGACUUAUCUUGACGUUAGCCCCAGAAGAAGCACCGGCUAACUCUGUGCCAGCAGCCGCGGUAAUACAGAGGGUGCAAGCGUUAAUCGGAAUUACUGGGCGUAAAGCGCGCGUAGGUGGUUUGUUAAGUCUGAUGUGAAAUCCCA